ACCAUACUGGGCUCUGGAUUGAGAACUUUGAGGGAAAAAUAAAAUGGCUUCAUGGGAGUGUGCAUAAAUUGAUACCGCUGGUAGACUGAAACUUUAAUAAAUGUUUCAGUAUUAGCUUUGAGCAAGGGCACUACAAAAGGAUGUUAUGCUUGCUAUAUACGUGCAUUGCGUAUGUUGGACGUAGAUCUUAAUGCUCACUGGAUUGGUUGCUUGGGAUUGAUAAAAGUCGUGCAGAUUUCUUGCUGCCUAAUAUGCAACAGCUGAAGCUCAACAGCCCCAGGAGAGAAAUAUUUGCAUUCAUCUUUGCAGAAUUCCAGUGGAAGCAAGAAACAUGGCUCUAAAGAAUUUUGUUCUGUCUCUUGUACUUGUACUUUUCAUAUUACCAGAAGGUCAGAACUUUCCAAACUGUUGCCUACAACGUAGAUGCUAUUGUAAAAUCUAUGAUUUCCUUUUUGGCUCUGGGAAGCAUGCUGCUGGCAUCUUAACUUUAGGGAAGCGUACCUCAAAACCUCCUCCUUCCACAACAGAUUUACAGACAAUGGCGAGUUUAGCUGAUUGGUACAAGAAAGCUCAGCAAACAUCAGAAGAGGGAAUGAAUGGAGAAAUGCUAGACUACCAGCUACUGGAACAAAACCCAGAAACAGCUGCACUUACUCAGAAAAAGCUUCUGAAACUCUGCAGAGAGAUGUUUCAACAGUAUCUCAACUGCUUAUCAAGUGAAACGCAAGAAGAAUUUCAAAAUGGAAAAUGUGCUCAAUAUUUUACAGACGAAUGGUCUUCCAUCUUUCCCCAAAUUGUGACCGUUUGUGCUGCUGUUACAGAUUAAUAUCUAAUGAAACAAUAAAAGAAAAAAUACAUUUAAAAUAAUAUUCUGUAUAUAUAAUAACAUUCUUCCUUGAAGUGUUAACUUCAUGUAGAGAAAAUAUAAAAAUUGCCAGAGGAGAAAACCUAGGGCAGCUAAGCACAGUGUUGGAAAGACCAAUUUCUACAAGACUGUGAUCACAGUUCCUGACAUUUUAUUAUGGGUGUAAGAAACCAAGAUUUACAUGGCUCUAAAACUGAAAAACUAAGAUACCUAUCCAUUUAAGCAAAACAUACAUUAAUGAACGUUGCUUCAGAUGUGCACCAAACACAAAGGGACUACUGUGUCACCAGCUUAAAGCAUGCAACUUAAAAUGCUGCCACUGUUUUUAAUGACUUGGUACUAACCCUUCCUUAUUUGUGUUUUUAUUUUAUUUGUUGUUGUAUUUGUUAAUUUGGAUUGAGCACUAAUCCACAUGGACCUUUUUCAGACUAAGCCUGGCAGUAGUGUCUGGUUAAGUAACUUGCUCACAGUUACAAAGUAGGCUAAUGGAAUCUGAGGGAAUCAACCCUGGACCACAUAAACCAGCUCAUUAAUAGCUCAUAGCUUUAAUCCUCUGCAUCAACUGCCAGACAGCACAACUUCUAGGUAUGCAAAUGAGUUCAACAGGUUCCUAGUGUCUUAAACUGAGGCAAAUUAUUUUAUUGAGAUAUGCAUAUCAAUGCACAUCUUCCACUCAGUCCUUUCCAAAAUAUCCCAUGUAUCAUACCAUAUGGAAAUAUGUACAUGCUCAAUUAAGAUGUAUGAAAUGUAUUCAUAUCUGUGGUCUCCUUAGGCAAACAUUCACAGUAAAAUAUUAAUUCAGAGUAAAGCUGAACUGUAUUUUUGUAUGCAACAGUAUUUAAAUUUUUUUUUAGGAAUAACAUCCUAUCUCAUCUAGUUUCGGGCAUAACCUUUGAAUAUACUAUGACAGUGCAAGGGCUCAUUCAUUCCUUCUGUGGAGUCAUUUGAAAAUCAAUUUCCCAUUUCUCCAAGGACUAUACUGCCCAGGUUAAAAUCAGCUCUUUUCCUAAGAUAAAGUUUUUUUUUAAUAAUAAUGAUGAUGAUGUAAAUGCUGAAAAAGCACCACACUGAUAAUUUAAGGUGCCAAUACGAACUCCUAGUGGACCAAUAGCCAAACCACAACUCUGUGCCUCAGAAUAGAAAACAUUAUAAUAUGGUUGCUGGCUGCCUCUUUCUCACUAUUACAAAUAGUCAUGCUUAGUGUGUGUAUGUGUGUGUAUACAUAUUAUAUACACAUCUAUCUGUAUAUAGGUUGUGCUUCAAAUUUAUGAGAAACGUGUUCUUAAUAUAUGAUUAUUUUGUGUAUAGAUCACUGGUGUAACUUAGAAUACAAUAAAGAUGAACAGAAUACAUCA
Protopterus annectens (West African lungfish) is the source of this 2220-nucleotide long non-coding RNA. RefSeq lists it as uncharacterized. NCBI's taxonomy places the organism in Eukaryota, Metazoa, Chordata, Ceratodontiformes, Protopteridae. The record is from RefSeq and is a predicted model, not a curated record. The transcript is spliced from 2 exons.